GUCGAAGGACGAUGAGUCACAUCCAGAGAUUGACAGUCGCUAGGUCACGUAAGUGCGUCAUUGGUUAGUGUCCCGAGGAAGCUGUAAAACCCGGCCAUCUGCCGUAUUCGGCACGGACCCCAGGGUUGUGGACCUCGAAUAACCAGUCUCGCCUUGGGGGUGCGCGGUAAGUCGAUAGUCAUUUAUUCCGAACAAUCGCCACUUCCCGGAAUAAAAUAGAAUGAAACCAGAAAAAACAUCUGCAAUAUAUGUCUUGGCCAACAAAGAAGAAUCGCUGAUUGAUUAUAUUCGAUUUUAUGUAUAUGCAGAUACUGCUUACUUUGAGAUUUCUGUUAAAAUUUUACGAUACCGAAUUUCAGAUUCCAGUGGGAAAACAAAAUUUGUUGACGUGAACACACCUGCGCUUCGAAGGACAGCGUGUGAUCGAGCUAUAGUUAAUGUACGAUGAUGCCAAGAUGCUUGCUUUCAGAAGGGUGUGGCCAGGUCAUUUAUUAUUCAGUUCUGGCAGCCACAACACUACCUGGGCUUGAACUUUCUGAAGAAUAAACCUGCCGAGUAGUUUAUAUUUCUAAAAGAUAUUGCGCUAGAUAUAAAGAUGCACUUACCCCAUUCUUUCCUUCAUUGGAAGUUUUCUGUGGGGAGAUUCGACUGGUUUCUUGGGAAUCACGUGUCGAAGAUUCCUUGGAUGUAUACACUGGAGGUUUGGUU
This 708-nucleotide long non-coding RNA is filed under the name Androctonus crassicauda. The record is from RNAcentral. Lineage: Eukaryota; Metazoa; Arthropoda; Arachnida; Scorpiones; Buthidae.